GGGCCGGUAGCUCAGUGGUAGAGCAUCGGACUUUUAAUCCGCUGGUCGUGGGUUCGAUCCCCACCCGGCUCA
Molecule: transfer RNA, 72 nt
Filed under: Herpetosiphon geysericola
Lineage: Bacteria; Bacillati; Chloroflexota; Chloroflexia; Herpetosiphonales; Herpetosiphonaceae
Rfam family: tRNA
About the family: Transfer RNA (tRNA) molecules are approximately 80 nucleotides in length. Their secondary structure includes four short double-helical elements and three loops (D, anti-codon, and T loops). Further hydrogen bonds mediate the characteristic L-shaped molecular structure. tRNAs have two regions of fundamental functional importance: the anti-codon, which is responsible for specific mRNA codon recognition, and the 3' end, to which the tRNAs corresponding amino acid is attached (by aminoacyl-tRNA synthetases). tRNAs cope with the degeneracy of the genetic code in two manners: having more than one tRNA (with a specific anti-codon) for a particular amino acid; and 'wobble' base-pairing, i.e. permitting non-standard base-pairing at the 3rd anti-codon position.
Source: Rfam by way of RNAcentral